GACGAACGCUGGCGGCGUGCCUAACACAUGCAAGUCGAGCGGGGAAUUACCCAUGAAGUUUUCGGAUGGAAUGAGUGAUUUCUAGCGGCGGACGGGUGAGUAACGCGUGAGUAACCUGCCUCUCAGAGUGGAAUAACGUUUGGAAACGAACGCUAAUACCGCAUAACGUGAGAAGAGGGCAUCCUCUUUUUACCAAAGAUUUAUCGCUGAGAGAUGGGCUCGCGGCCGAUUAGGUAGUUGGUGAGAUAACAGCCCACCAAGCCGACGAUCGGUAGCCGGACUGAGAGGUUGAUCGGCCACAUUGGGACUGAGACACGGCCCAG
RNAcentral lists this ribosomal RNA (323 nucleotides) under uncultured bacterium. RNAcentral describes it as "bacterial SSU rRNA". It matches the Rfam family "Bacterial small subunit ribosomal RNA", at positions 28 to 334 of the family's 1533-position model. The record is from RNAcentral.